Molecule: long non-coding RNA, 538 nt
Filed under: Papio anubis (olive baboon)
Lineage: Eukaryota; Metazoa; Chordata; Mammalia; Primates; Cercopithecidae
Description: lncRNA (ENSPANG00000039477.1)
Source: RNAcentral
CUAACUUCUGUGCCCCAGCAUAACCUCCAAAGUAACAGCCGUGCCCUGGGAGCCUGUUCAACACUGAACAUAUCCCACAAUAACACAGUUCCAGCGUCGCUGGUAAAAAGCAGAAAUGGCUUCGACCUGAGAAGAUAAAAUUGAGGCCCAUCUUACAGGUGCAACAGAAUCUGAAGAAGGGCUCAGAAGUGACAGAUUCAAGGGGAGAAGGCAACAAAUCAAGACUCUAACCAGCUUAGGCAAAAGGAAGAACUUAUAUAAAGUAUACGGGGACGAGUUGAACAACCUACUCUACAGAUAAGAAUCCAGCUAGCCUAGGGACCAGCAAUAUUAGAUCCUCUGCUUGCUUCUUUUUUCUGUAGACCAACUUUUCCAAGGGAACACAGCUGCCUAGCACACCCAAGGUUUUCACUUUAUGGCUUCAAGAAUGAGAGACCAACUUGCUUUCUAUAUUUUUUCCUAUCCAAGACCCAAAUUCCUGGGGAUGGGACUCACUGGCUCUGAUAAGCUGGAGGCAUCAAUAAAUCUAAUGCAGUGA